UCGAAUAAACUUGAACAGGCUGUUGCUGGUCCCAUGGGAUAGUGUGCACGCUUGUCAUCUUUGUUAUUUCUCCAACUGUGCACAUAUUGUAGACCUGGAGCCGGUUUGGAUUUUUGUUCCGAGUUGGGACUGCUGUGCUUCACAUCGAGGUCAGCUUUUCCCUUUUGCAAUCAGGUCUAUGUCAUUAUUUUUUCACAACCUGUUUGGAAUGACUAUAAAAUAAAUAUAAUAA
Molecule: unclassified non-coding RNA, 232 nt
Filed under: uncultured Inocybe
Lineage: Eukaryota; Fungi; Basidiomycota; Agaricomycetes; Agaricales; Cortinariaceae
Description: sequence contains ITS1
Source: RNAcentral